RNAcentral lists this transfer RNA (70 nucleotides) under Schizothorax progastus (Dinnawah snowtrout). RNAcentral's name for it is "tRNA-Pro". It matches the Rfam family "tRNA". Rfam says of the family: Transfer RNA (tRNA) molecules are approximately 80 nucleotides in length. Their secondary structure includes four short double-helical elements and three loops (D, anti-codon, and T loops). Lineage: Eukaryota; Metazoa; Chordata; Actinopteri; Cypriniformes; Cyprinidae. The record is from RNAcentral.
CAGAAAAUAGUUUAGUUUAGAAUUCUGGCUUUGGGAGCCAGUGGUGAGAGUUAAAACUUCUCUUUUCUGG